Molecule: long non-coding RNA, 445 nt
Organism: Oncorhynchus tshawytscha (Chinook salmon)
Lineage: Eukaryota; Metazoa; Chordata; Actinopteri; Salmoniformes; Salmonidae
Source: Ensembl
GUUCUACGUAUUCCCUAAGAAGUGCACAGUGUACGGGACUGGAGCGCCAUUUUGGCCACCUAGAUCCUAUUGUUGAUGCUGUGGUUGACCUCUUAAGAAAAGAGAUUUCAGGCUGCAGGGUUUGGGACCACUAGAGAUACUGUAGCAUCAAGGGACAUCUUGUUACAUUUCACGUGAGAUGUUUGUAUCGCUAUCACACAAUGACAAAGUCUUCACCUUGACUGCUGCAGGUAAUUCCUGGAGAGUUAUUGUCUUGUAUGUAAUUGAGUGUGGGGUUGCUAGGUGGACUGUAAGCAUUGAGGUAUUGUCUUGUAUCUAAUUGAGUGUGGGGUUGCUAGGUGGACUGUAAGCAUUGAGUUAUUGUCUUGUAUCUAAUUGAGUGGGGGGUUGCUAGGUGGACUGUAAGCAUUGAGUUAUUGUCUUGUAUCUAAUUGAGUGGGGGGUU